GGAGUAACGCGUAAAGAAACUUAGCCCUUUACGUACUGGGAGUAACAAGAGGGAAACGUUACUGAUAAUAACUGGAUAAGUUAGUAUAUCGCAUGAUAAUGCAAAUGAAAGACUACGGCACUAAAGGAGAGCUUUGCGUCCUAUUAGCUAGUUGGUAAGGUAAGAGCUUACCAAGGCGAUGAUAGGUAGCCGGCCUGAGAGGGUGGACGGCCACAAGGGGACUGAGAUACGGCCCUUACUCCUACGGGAGGCAGCAGG
This 258-nucleotide ribosomal RNA is filed under the name uncultured Leptotrichia sp. RNAcentral describes it as "partial 16S ribosomal RNA". It matches the Rfam family "Bacterial small subunit ribosomal RNA", at positions 107 to 354 of the family's 1533-position model. The record is from RNAcentral. Lineage: Bacteria; Fusobacteriati; Fusobacteriota; Fusobacteriia; Fusobacteriales; Leptotrichiaceae.